UUUUUUUUUUUUUUUGAGUCGUGUAAUUUUAGAAGGUGUUCAAGAGGACAGUUGUGCCCUCAGCUUCCUCUCACCUCUACCCCCAGCUCUAUGCCUUUAGUUCUUUGUAUAUUGGCUGAGGCAGUGACACUCAAAUGCUGUCAAAAUGUAUUUUCAGGUGUGGGAAGAGAUAGAAAACCCAAAGCAGAACGUGGAGUGAACAAAAUCAUAAAAAAAGCUCAAUCCCAGUGGAGCCCCAUGUUGCUGCUCUGUACUGGGUGGUCUAGCUAGUAUGACAGUGGGAGGGGGCUCUCAUUAAGACACUCUCUGAUUUUGUUCAUUCACUCAUUUGUCUAAUAAUUUUUGAACUCCUGUUGUGUUUUAAGUACAAUGUUAGACGUAAAACAUAAAACAGUGUGUAAGCAAAGUCCUUGCUCCCUGCAGUUUACAAUCUAAUGGAAAAUUUAAAAUAAGUUAUUCCACAAAUAUAUUUUGAACUCGUUGUGUUAAAUGCUAAAAGGAGAAGUCAAAGGCAUUAUGACAGCAGGAAUACGGUAGAUUCUGGGGGCAAGAACAUGUUCUUUGUGUCAGUGAUAGGGCCACGCUUUAAGAAUGUGCAGCAGCUGGCCAAGUGAGGAAGCAACCCAUGGAGUUCCCAUCACGGUUCAGUGGAAAUGAAUCUGACUAGCAUCCAUGAGAAUGCUGGUUCAAUCCUUGGCCACACUCAGUAGGUUAAGGAUCUGGUGUUGCCAUGAGCUGUGGUGUAGGUUGCAGACAUGGCUCAGAUGCGGUACUGCUAUGGCUGUGGCAUAGGCCAGCGACUACAGGUCUAAUUCAACCCCUAGCCUUGGAACCAACAUAAGCCAAAGGUGUGACCCUAAAACAACCAAAAAAGCUAGACCCCAGUGAUUUGGGGAGGGGAAGUGGAUUUGCUAGGACUAGAUUAUUCUUGGCUUCAAAAGCUACUUCAUCAGCUUAAGUCUGUAUCUUAAGGGUAUAGUUAGGGCUUUAAGUGUUUUAAAUAAAAUCAUAUUUGCAUUUUUAAGGUCAUUCUGGCUUUAAUAUGGAGAGUGGAGCAAAAAUACACGUGCAGUGACCAGAAGGUGUUAUGAUGGUCCAGGUGAUGUCCAGUGAUUGGGUCAAGGGGGUGGCUGGUUGGAAAGAAUGGACAGUAUUAACAUAUGCCAAUGGGCUAAAACAUCCAGACUCAGUCACCUGUUAUAUAAUGAGAGAAUGAAGCCUAGUUUCCUCUACUGUUUAUAAGCAUGGUAUUUAAGCCUCCUUGAUGGAGUGAGCAGUAAGCUAUGACAACAAAAUGAAAGAAACAAACAAAAAGCAAAGGUCAGAUAAAUUGCACAAAUACUUUUCAAAAGUAAGUCUAUUGUUUACUGAGACUUUCUUGUAGAGAUUCUAAUAGCCAUUUAUUUUUUUUUUUUAGUUUUAGUUUUUUGGCUACACCUGUAGCAUGUGGAAGUUCCUAGGCCAGAGAUCAAACCAGCGCCAUAGUUGUGGCAGUGCCACAGCUGCAGCACCACCAGAUCCUUAACUGUCUGCCCCACAUGGGAAUUUCGUCACAUGGCUAUUUAAAAGUCAUUACUAUGACUUGGACCCACUGAUAGUCUCAGGACAUAGGAUAGCAUCGAAGAGGUGACACGAUGCAAAAAAUUCACCCUGACUUUUCAAAAAUCAAUUCGAGGAGGGCUUUGAUAUCCUGUUGAUCUAACCCAAUAGUACUGUAAUUACUGCUAUCGCCCUGCCUAGUACAGACGGUCUUUUCAUAGUUUGAGCAUAAUGUUUUGGUUUCAAAGUUGGUGUGACCUAUAGUUUCUAGGGGUUGUUUUAAUAUGUGGUGUCCACUAGUAUCACUGCAUCAUGAAAUACAUAUCCUGAAUCUCAAAGUUAUGUAAGACAGUCAUCCCUCUUGUCCAUAAUACACACAUCUUUGCCAUUUCUUUUCAUCACAGUAUCAUCUCAUUAUCGAAGCAUUCUGUGUCCCAGGUUAGCUGUGGGCCCUUGUCAACAUGGAUGCAAGUUUUGGCUGCUCUAUUUGCUCCCAUAUAAUAUAUUCUUACGUCUUUAUGAACUCAUGGUGUCUUAUAACACAUGCCAAUAGGUACUCUAAACAUUUUCAUAGGGAGCCAGGAAUUCCUGACUUUCAAUACAGACGUGCCUUUGUCAGUGACCAGUUGUUACUGAAUUCAGUUCAGCUGCUCACUGCUCGAAAGCUAAUGCUGGAGAGAUGAGUGCUGGGAGGAAGGUGGACUCUUGUCCAAAAACCAACUCUGAAGAUUCUGCUUGACCAUGAAAGUUUUUAAAAGGGGGUAUCAUUUGGGGAGAAGGUGAGAGUCUGUUAUCUUCCACGAUGUGCACUUUCUUCUGAUUGGUUGGUGGUGAAGUAGUAGGGCAGAGCUCUAGGAAUCUUGUGUUCAGCCUGAAGUUACCAUCCUCUGCCUGUGUAGGGGCUUUAGUUCCUUUGGAAGAACUGGAAGGUAUUGUGUAUAUUCCUUGAGGAGGAACCAGGACCUGCCCCAGGGCUGUACUGUUGUUUCUUUUGUUUCUUCAUCACCUAAACCCCUUUCCCUGAUAAAUAAUUGUUUGAAUCUGCCCUUUGGAAUUCAGAGAAGAUGAAGGAGGCUGAAUGAAGGCUAUUUUCUGUAAACAAGAAACAGGGGACAUGAAAAGAAUUGAUGCCUGGAAGGCCCUGCAGGUCCUGCUUUGUUUCAUACAAAAAAAACCCCAAAAUUGCACAGGGGAAGUAGAAGGAUCCAUGCUCU
This 2753-nucleotide long non-coding RNA is filed under the name Sus scrofa (pig). RNAcentral's name for it is "lncRNA (ENSSSCG00025070832.1)". The record is from RNAcentral. Lineage: Eukaryota; Metazoa; Chordata; Mammalia; Artiodactyla; Suidae.